Long non-coding RNA from Pan troglodytes (chimpanzee), 1015 nucleotides. NCBI's taxonomy places the organism in Eukaryota, Metazoa, Chordata, Mammalia, Primates, Hominidae. The record is from Ensembl.
CCUAGUUCAUAUGGUCUAUAAACUGUCCACAUUCAAAGUAAGCUUCAUAUAUGUAAAGUACUGUUGUUUUCAUUUGUGUUAGGAGUUACAUAGUUCAAGAUAGGUUUUUCUAGCAGUAUAAUAUUUUUAAAUUCUGGUUUUUAUUACAUAUUUAUAUAGAUCAGUGGAUCAAAGAAACAUCCUCAAGAAACUAAGAAACAACACAAGAUUCUCUCUGAUGAAAUGCUUAAGUAUAAGGAAAAUGACGGAAGACACAGAAGAGCAGCAGAAGUGGGUAGAAGACUACUACAGAUGCCAGAGCGCCACUUCUGAAAGAAAGGCUCACGACAACUGGGUAAGUUUUUUUUUUUUCUUUCCUUGCUUUUGGACAUAAUCUGCCAGGUCAGGACGUGGAUGUAUUUUUCUCCCCCACAGCUCUGUGUUUAAGCCUCGCAGAGGGAGAUGCAAGAGAAGAAGGCUGCCUACAAGCAGCACAGGUAGGUAAUUGUGAUGGACAUUUCUAAGGAUGUCUUUGUUUUAAGACAAAGCUUUGAGUAUCUAGUAAAGAACUUGGUGUUUUAAUUCUUAUUUAAGUUCAUUCUUUCUCUAUCUCCAAGAUAGGAAAUGAUUGAAAAACAGAGAGUGCUGGAGAGACACAUUAGUCAGGAGCCAGCUAGUGGACAACCAGGCAUAGAGAAUCAUCCCCAAAGAGGUCAAUAUGGCUUUGGGAGGGCCCCUUUUUCAGGAUUGCCCUACUUGCUCUACUGCAUGGCUGGCUCUUCAGGACCAUUUGUGGGCUGCCAGACACCUCCUCUGCCUGGGUGGCCUCUGGGAACACGACCACUGCCUCCAUGCACACCACUUGGACAAGCUGAAAUUUGAAGAGGCCCCUGAGCUCUGACAGCCAUGCUGUGGCUCCUACAUAACUUGGAAAAGUAUCCAAUACAUUUUACGCUGCCUGCCCAGUGCUGCCUCAUCUGUCUCUAAUCUUCUGUAGUGUUUCCCCUAAUAAAGGUUUGCAGUCCUAUCUGUUUGG